GACGAACGCUGGCGGCGUGCUUAACACAUGCAAGUCGAGCGGUAAGGCCCUUUCGGGGGUACACGAGCGGCGAACGGGUGAGUAACACGUGGGUGACCUGCCCUCAGCUCUGGGAUAAGCCCGGGAAACUGGGUCUAAUACCGGAUAUGACUUCAUGACGCAUGUUGUGGAGUGGAAAGCCUUGUGCGGCUGAGGAUGGGCCCGCGGCCUAUCAGCUUGUUGGUGGGGUGAUGGCCUACCAAGGCGACGACGGGUAGCCGGCCUGAGAGGGCGACCGGGCCACACUGGGACUGAGAUACGGCCCAGACUCCUACGGGAGGCAGCAGUGGGGAAUUGUUCGCAAUGGGCGCAAGCCUGACGACGCAACGCCGCGUGGAGGAUGAAGGUCUUCGGAUUGUAAACUCCUGUUCGGCCCGGG
This 418-nucleotide ribosomal RNA is filed under the name uncultured bacterium. RNAcentral's name for it is "bacterial SSU rRNA". It matches the Rfam family "Bacterial small subunit ribosomal RNA", at positions 28 to 446 of the family's 1533-position model. The record is from RNAcentral.